This 577-nucleotide ribosomal RNA is filed under the name Amolops loloensis (rufous-spotted torrent frog). Its description in RNAcentral is "partial 16S ribosomal RNA". It matches the Rfam family "Bacterial large subunit ribosomal RNA", at positions 1830 to 2621 of the family's 2925-position model. The record is from RNAcentral. Lineage: Eukaryota; Metazoa; Chordata; Amphibia; Anura; Ranidae.
GCCUCUUGCCCAAAUAUAAGAGGUCCAGCCUGCCCAGUGACAUAGUUUAACGGCCGCGGUACCCUAACCGUGCGAAGGUAGCAUAAUCACUUGUUCUUUAAAUAAGGACUCGUAUCAACGGCAUCACGAGGGCUGUACUGUCUCCUUUCUCCAAUCAGUGAAACUGAUCUCCCCGUGAAGAAGCGGGGAUUGACCUAUAAGACGAGAAGACCCCAUGGAGCUUUAAACCCAACACACACCCCUACGCACCCAAACCAAUACAGCCCAAGAGACUUGUGUGUUGGUUUUAGGUUGGGGGGACCGCGGAGUAAAAUCAAACCUCCAUGACAGACGGGCUAAUACCCUUAUCCAUGAACCACAAUUCUAAGAGCCAAUAAAUUGUUGUCUAAUGACCCAAUUACUUGAUCAACGAACCAAGUUACCCUGGGGAUAACAGCGCAAUCUACUUCAAGAGCCCCUAUCGACAAGUAGGUUUACGACCUCGAUGUUGGAUCAGGGUAUCCUAGUGGUGCAGCCGCUACUAAAGGUUCGUUUGUUCAACGAUUAAAACCCUACGUGAUCUGAGUUCAGACCCGGA